Long non-coding RNA from Coregonus clupeaformis (lake whitefish), 2961 nucleotides. RefSeq lists it as uncharacterized. The record is from RefSeq and is a predicted model, not a curated record. The transcript is spliced from 4 exons. NCBI's taxonomy places the organism in Eukaryota, Metazoa, Chordata, Actinopteri, Salmoniformes, Salmonidae.
UAUCUCAAGUACAGCCUAGACGCAGAUCACAUUUGCCCUGCGGGACCAGGGAAUAGUCACCUGCAGCCCACCUGUAAAGGAGUUCCUUGAUCUCUGACCACCUCUGCGCAUGGAGUUGCAGAUGCAGAGUUCUGGAGAAUCAUGAAUCGGAACUUGCCGAACACAUUCUGUGCUGUGCUCGACCGUCACACCCCUUGUUUGAUGACCUUGUAAUGACAGAGGACAUCCAAAGAGUGGAAGGAUCGCUGACGCUUUAGUUGACAUUCUGAGGGGUCAUGAUCUAGGCUACAGGAACUACAUGAUGUCCACAAGGCAUACCACUGUUCUCCGUGCUCUUCCUGUGUUACUGCGUGAAGACAUGCAAGGUGGAGGAUUCUGACUAGCCAGAGCUUGGUGACGCACCGGUAGCCCUACUUAACAAUCGUCAGUGACAGCGCCGAAAAUCAAGACCACUACAAUCCGGUCAAGAUUUCCGUUGUGGUGACCGACUAUGGGAAUCAGAGGGAGGAUAGACCAUAUUUUUAUAUUCUGUGUCCUCUCUCCUCCCCUCCUUUUCAUAACCCAUUGGUGGACACGAGGAAUUAAGGAGAGAGGAUGCGGGGAAUCGAGGAAAUGCAAUUGAAAUUACGCCAAUGAAAACUGUCUGUGUUCGUAUUGCACAUAAUAAUAGGAGAAGCUUGUCACCAUGAUGUUUUAUUCUGCACAGACUCUAUUGUCUCGAUGACCACUGACCUUUUACUGUGGGGGUCAACUUUACUCUUUAGAUAAUGUUCAUUAUUACUGAUUCAUUGACAUAUAGUUACUUUGUUCCAAGCAUGUUGUCCAUUGUUUGUAAAACAUGGCACUUGGAGAGGCCUACCACUGCCAAAAUGAUUUUGGGGCUUACAUAUGGAGCAAUGUAUCAGUGGAGUUCAGGGUUGGGGUCAAUUCCAAUUCAGUCAUUUCAGGAAGUAAACUGAAAGUCCAAUUGCAAUUUUAUUUAAAUUCUCAUAAGAGGCAAUGAGGAAAAUUUGAAUUGAUAUUGGAAAAUGUGGAAUAAGUCAAGGGGUAUGAAUAGUUUCUGAAGGCACUGUAACUCUCAGCUGACAAAAACCAUAUUAUGAAUGAGCUAAUAGCUAUGACUAUUUACAAUUUAUCAUGAGGGGUGAGCUAACCAGUGAUCAAAUAUUUUUUUGUAAAACACUUUCUAAAAGUCGAAAGUAAUCCGACGGUAGCAUAUGUGCUUGUUGCCAUGUUUGUUUCCCGCGUCAACCGAAGAUAAGACGACGUGACAAGAUGAGGUGGGUCUUCUUCUUCUUCUUCUUCUUCUGCUUCUUCUUCUUCUAUGGUAUUAUGGUGGUCCGCAAACAUACUGUACGUUAGAGGUGCAUGCCACCACCUACUGUGUGGGGUAAAAUCAUUAACGCAGAAAAACACGGUGAAAUAGGUAAAGGGUAAAACAAAUGUUACAAACAUUUAUUCACCCCAAAAUCGACAAAACCAAAAAUCUAUGUACUUCUUUAAUCAGAUUCAAAUCUCUACUUCGAUCACUACAGGCUCUGGGGCCUGAGAGAAAAGUCCAUCUUCAGAAACUAUUCCCUGCAACGUUUCAGCUGUAAAGUCCUGGAGGUCCAGAAACCUUUUUGACACAUUCACAAUUAUGUAAAGUUUCUUUGAUAUCUUGUUAGUUUGACUUGUACAAAUUAUCACCUGCGCAAUAAAUGCAACAAAAUCCACCUUCUUCCCUAUCAGUACUUCAGGAUCCUUCAACUGAUGAACAACACCUUCUGCAGGCAUCCUUUGCCAUUUCUUCCUCAUUUGCACUGGCUCCUUCAGCUAUUUGUACUACCUCUGCAUAGGAGACCUGUUCGACAGCCCAGAUUAUUGCUAUUUCGACCUUCUUCACCCUUACACAGCACUCCUUUAACUUGAGAACGGUUCCCACCACAAUUGCAGCACCGUGUAUCCACUGACUCUUCCACAACAUAUUUAUUCCAUAUGCACACACUUGCCACGUGGCCCAACUUUUUACAUUUAAGACACUGCAACGAUCCAUUCACAUGAGCUCUCACUGCGUAUCUCAUAUACCCCAGCUUUACAUGUGUCGGAAGAUACUCUUCAUCAAAUAGCAAGAGCACUGAUAGGCUUUCCUCCUUCCUUCCAUUCACAAUAUGGUUCAAUUGAUGUGCCUCCACUAAUCCUGGUACGUGGUGCUUUAGAUUUUCAGCCUCAAUUUCCACCGCGACGCCAGAGAGGACACCUUUUACCAGUGCCCUGUUCAGAAAGCUUUCUACUUCAUACUCAGAUAAUUCUCUGAGACACAAUGCACUUUCCUUUUGUUCUUCUGAAAUACAAUAAAUCAACACCAUACCACUCCUGGUCACUUUGAUUGACUCCAUCUUUCCCAGUGUGUCCUCCACCGUCUCCUUGAAUGCAAAUUGAUCUCCCAAAAACACAUCCUUAUCCUUGAAACGUACUCCAACAAGGAACAAGGCAUUAUUAUACAUCUUAAUGGCCUAUCUUCAUUAACAACAUUAGCCCGUUUUGCUCCAUCCUUCAAUGUUUUCCGCAAAUUUCCAUUAACUUUACUCAAUGUGCCAUCCGACUCAAACAUUGCUUCCGCUUCCCAUGCGGUGGCAGCCAUCUUCCUCGAUGAGUUGGGUCUGUUUGCAGUAUGAAUGUUGAAGGCGAAGAGGGUGUGUCAUCUACCAUCAUUCACUUCCCAUCAUUCCCUUCCGGAAGUUUACUCGAAAGACGAGUGAGCCAUCCCUUCACCUUGUUUUGCUAUAACGUCUUUGGUCUGACAGACAUUUACGUGACACCCAGAAUGCAUUGAAUGAUGUCAUCAAACAUGGCUCCAUACAUUGCCGGCAAAUAGAAUAGCAAUAGCUCAUCAUAGUCGGUACAACCUUCAAAAAUGUCCAUUACAAUCUAUGCAAGAAUCGGAAUGCAUGAUUUGUCAACAGUACUUGAAAACGUGAA